Molecule: ribosomal RNA, 465 nt
Filed under: uncultured bacterium
Lineage: Bacteria
Description: partial 16S ribosomal RNA
Rfam family: Bacterial small subunit ribosomal RNA
Source: RNAcentral
GACGAACGCUGGCGGCGUGCUUAACACAUGCAAGUCGAACGGAAAGGCCCUGCUUGCAGGGUACUCGAGUGGCGAACGGGUGAGUAACACGUGGGUGAUCUGCCCUGCACUUCGGGAUAAGCCUGUUCAACUGGGUCUAAUACCGGAUAGGAGCCAUUUUUAGUGUGAUGGUUGGAAAGUUUUUUCGGUUUAGGCUGAGCUCGCGGCCUAACAGCUUGUUGGUGGGGUAAUGGCCUACCAAGGCGGCUUCGGGUAGCCGGCCUGAGAGGGUGGACGGCCACACUGGGACUGAGAUGCGGCACCGGUUCCUAAGGGAGGGAGAAGGGGGGAAGAUUGAACGAUGGGCGCAGGCCUGAUGAAGCGACGCUGCGUGGGGGAUGACGCUCUUAGGGUUGAAAAAUAAGUGCGCUAGGGACGAUGCUUUUUGUGACGGUACCUAGAUAAGAAGCCCCGGCUAACUACGUG